RNAcentral lists this ribosomal RNA (253 nucleotides) under uncultured bacterium. Its description in RNAcentral is "partial 16S ribosomal RNA". It matches the Rfam family "Bacterial small subunit ribosomal RNA", at positions 524 to 776 of the family's 1533-position model. The record is from RNAcentral.
UACAGAGGUCCCGAGCGUUGUUCGGAUUCAUUGGGCGUAAAGGGUGCGUAGGUGGCGGGGUAAGUCAGGUGUGAAAUCUCGGAGCUCAACUCCGAAACUGCACUUGAUACUGCCUUGCUUGAGUACUGGAGAGGAGAUUGGAAUUUACGGUGUAGCAGUGAAAUGCGUAGAUAUCGUAAGGAAGACCAGUGGCGAAGGCGAAUCUCUGGACAGUUACUGACACUGAGGCACGAAGGCCAGGGGAGCAAACGGG